UCUCCGUAGGUGAACCUGCGGAGGGAUCAUUACUGAGUGAGGGCCUUCGGGCUCGACCUCCAACCCUUUGUGAACACAACUUGUUGCUUCGGGGGCGACCCUGCCGUUUCGACGGCGAGCGCCCCCGGGGUCAAUCAAACACUGCAUUCUCUGCGUCGGAGUUUAAGUAAAUUAAACAAAACUUGCAACAACGGAUCUCUUGGUUCUGGCAUCGAUGAAGAACGAGC
RNAcentral lists this unclassified non-coding RNA (227 nucleotides) under uncultured fungus. RNAcentral's name for it is "sequence contains ITS1, 5.8S rRNA gene". The record is from RNAcentral. Lineage: Eukaryota; Fungi.